GGGGGGGGGGGGGGGGGGGGGGGGGGGGGGGGGGGGGAGGGGGGGGGGGGGGGGGGGGCAGGCGGGGGGGGGAGGGGUGGGAACAUACCCUGGUGUGCGGAAGAGCUCGGGGAAACGGGGAUUGAUACCGUAUACGCCCUACGGGGGAAAGAUUUAUCGGGGAAGGAUUGGCCCGCGUUGGAUUGGCUAGUUGGUGGGGUAAAGGCCUACCAAGGCGACGAGCCAUAGCGGGUCUGAGAGGAUGAUCAGCCACAUUGGGACUGAGACACGGCCCAAACUCCUACGGGAGGCAGCAGUGGGGAAUAUUGGACAAUGGGCGCAAGCCUGAUCCAGCCAUGCCGCGUGAGUGAUGAAGGCCUUAGGGUUGUAAAGCUCUUUCACCGAUGAAGAUAAUGACGGUAGUCGGAGAAGAAGCCCCGGCUAACUUCGUG
RNAcentral lists this ribosomal RNA (431 nucleotides) under uncultured bacterium. RNAcentral describes it as "partial 16S ribosomal RNA". The stretch from base 49 to 431 matches the Rfam family "Bacterial small subunit ribosomal RNA", at positions 39 to 507 of the family's 1533-position model. The record is from RNAcentral.